Molecule: non-coding RNA, 131 nt
Organism: Caenorhabditis elegans
Lineage: Eukaryota; Metazoa; Nematoda; Chromadorea; Rhabditida; Rhabditidae
Source: Ensembl
UAGUUCUUAAGCCUUAGCCUCAGCCUGAGCCUAAGCCUAAGUCUUACCCUAAGCCUGAGCCUAAGCCUACACCUAAGUCUAUGCCAAAACAUUCGUAUUUCUACUGCAGGUGCACUUUAUAAUUGAAUCGA